GAGUUUGAUCCUGGCUCAGAGCGAACGCUGGCGACAGGCUUAACACAUGCAAGUCGAGCGGGCGUAGCAAUACGUCAGCGGCAGACGGGUGAGUAACACGUGGGAACGUACCUUUUGGUUCGGAACAACUGAGGGAAACUUCAGCUAAUACCGGAUAAGCCCUAACGGGGAAAGAUUUAUCGCCGAAAGAUCGGCCCGCGUCUGAUUAGCUAGUUGGUGAGGUAAUGGCUCACCAAGGCGACGAUCAGUAGCUGGUCUGAGAGGAUGAUCAGCCACACUGGGACUGAGACACGGCCCAGACUCCUACGGGAGGCAGCAGUGGGGAAUAUUGGACAAUGGGGGCAACCCUGAUCCAGCCAUGCCGCGUGAGUGAUGAAGGCCCUAGGGUUGUAAAGCUCUUUUGUGCGGGAAGAUAAUGACGGUACCGCAAGAAUAAGCCCCGACUAACUUCGUGCCAGCAGCCGCGGUAAU
This 471-nucleotide ribosomal RNA is filed under the name uncultured microorganism. RNAcentral describes it as "bacterial SSU rRNA". It matches the Rfam family "Bacterial small subunit ribosomal RNA", at positions 9 to 524 of the family's 1533-position model. The record is from RNAcentral.